RNAcentral lists this ribosomal RNA (446 nucleotides) under uncultured bacterium. RNAcentral's name for it is "bacterial SSU rRNA". It matches the Rfam family "Bacterial small subunit ribosomal RNA", at positions 330 to 793 of the family's 1533-position model. The record is from RNAcentral.
GCCAGACUCCUACGGGAGGCAGCAGUCGAGAAUCAUUCACAAUGGGGGAAACCCUGAUGGUGCGACGCCGCGUGAGGGAAGAAGGUUUUCGGAUUGUAAACCUCUGUGGACAGGGACGAUAAUGACGGUACCUGUCAAGAAAGCCACGGCUAACUACGUGCCAGCAGCCGCGGUAAUACGUAGGGGGCAAGCGUUAUCCGGAUUUACUGGGUGUAAAGGGAGCGUAGACGGCGAUACAAGUCUGAAGUGAAAGCCCGGGGCUCAACCCCGGGACUGCUUUGGAAACUGUGUUGCUGGAGUGCUGGAGAGGCAAGCGGAAUUCCUAGUGUAGCGGUGAAAUGCGUAGAUAUUAGGAAGAACACCAGUGGCGAAGGCGGCUUGCUGGACAGUAACUGACGUUGAGGCUCGAAAGCGUGGGGAGCAAACAGGAUUAGAUACCCGUGUAU